UUGGAGGGCAAGUCUGGUGCCAGCAGCCGCGGUAAUUCCAGCUCCAAUAGCGUAUAUUAAAGUUGUUGCGGUUAAAAAGCUCGUAGUUGAAUUUCGGGAUCAAUACGUCGGUCGUGCCUCUGGUAUGAACUGGUGUUAUUGAUUCCUCCUUUCUGAUAAACCAUGAUGUCAUUAAUUUGGUGUUGUGGGGAGUCAGGACUGUUACUUUGAAAAAAUUAGAGUGUUUAAAGCAGGCCUACGCUUGAAUACAUUAGCAUGGAAUAAUGAAAUAGGACGUUCGAACCUAUUUUGUUGGUUUCUAGGAUCAACGUAAUGAUUAAUAGGGAUAGUUGGGGGCAUUAGUAUUCAAUUGUCAGAGGUGAAAUUCUUGGAUUUAUUGAAGACUAACUACUGCGAAAGCAUUUGCCAAGGAUGUUUUCAUUAAUCAAGAACGAAAGUUAGGGGAUCGAAGACGAUCAGAUACCGUCGUAGUCUUAACCAUAAACUAUGCCGACUAGGGAUCGGAUGAUGUUAAUUUUUUAAUGACUCAUUCGGCGCCUUACGGGAAAC
This 549-nucleotide ribosomal RNA is filed under the name uncultured Glomeromycotina. Its description in RNAcentral is "SSU rRNA". It matches the Rfam family "Eukaryotic small subunit ribosomal RNA", at positions 548 to 1098 of the family's 1831-position model. Lineage: Eukaryota; Fungi; Glomeromycota. The record is from RNAcentral.